RNAcentral lists this ribosomal RNA (423 nucleotides) under uncultured bacterium. Its description in RNAcentral is "partial 16S ribosomal RNA". It matches the Rfam family "Bacterial small subunit ribosomal RNA", at positions 360 to 774 of the family's 1533-position model. The record is from RNAcentral.
AAUCUUCCGCAAUGGACGAAAGUCUGACGGAGCAAUGCCGCGUGAGCGAUGAAGGCCUUAGGGUCGUAAAGCUCUGUUGUUAGGGAAGAACAAGUAUCGGAGUAAUAUGCCGUUACCUUGCCGGUACCUACCCAGAAAGCCCCGCCUAACUACGUCCCACCAGCCGCGGUAAUACGUAGGGGGCAAGCGUUGUCCGGAAUUAUUGGGCGUAAAGGGUGCGUAGGCGGCCUUUUAAGUCAGAUGUGAAAGCCCACGGCUUAACCGUGGGACUGCAUUUGAAACUGGAGGGCUUGAGUAUCGGAGAGGGUAGUGGAAUUCCCAGUGUAGCGGUGGAAUGCGUAGAUAUUGGGAGGAACACCAGUGGCGAAGGCGACUACCUGGACGAAAACUGACGCUGAGGCACGAAAGCUAGGGGAGCAAACA